Molecule: ribosomal RNA, 394 nt
Filed under: Micrococcus luteus
Lineage: Bacteria; Bacillati; Actinomycetota; Actinomycetes; Micrococcales; Micrococcaceae
Description: bacterial SSU rRNA
Rfam family: Bacterial small subunit ribosomal RNA
Source: RNAcentral
CUGAUGCAGCGACGCCGCGUGAGGGAUGACGGCCUUCGGGUUGUAAACCUCUUUCAGUAGGGAAGAAGCGAAAGUGACGGUACCUGCAGAAGAAGCACCGGCUAACUACGUGCCAGCAGCCGCGGUAAUACGUAGGGUGCGAGCGUUAUCCGGAAUUAUUGGGCGUAAAGAGCUCGUAGGCGGUUUGUCGCGUCUGUCGUGAAAGUCCGGGGCUUAACCCCGGAUCUGCGGUGGGUACGGGCAGACUAGAGUGCAGUAGGGGAGACUGGAAUUCCUGGUGUAGCGGUGGAAUGCGCAGAUAUCAGGAGGAACACCGAUGGCGAAGGCAGGUCUCUGGGCUGUAACUGACGCUGAGGAGCGAAAGCAUGGGGAGCGAACAGGAUUAGAUACCCCC